AGUCUGAAGGUAUGUAGCAGACUGUUGUUUAUUCUGAAGGUAUGUAGCAGACUGUUUGUUUAUUCUGAAGGUAUGUAGCAGACUGUUGUUUAUUCUGAAGGUAUGUAGCAGACUGUUUGUUUAUUCUGAGGGUAUGUAGCAGACUGUUUGUUUAUACUGAAGGUAUGUAGCAGACUGUUUGUUUAUUCUGAGGGUAUGUAGCAGACUGUUUGUUUAUUCUGAGGGUAUGUAGCAGACUGUUUGUUUAUUCUGAAGGUAUGUAGCAGACUGUUUGUUUAUUCUGAGGGUAUGUAGCAGACUGUUUGUUUAUUCUGAGGGUAUGUAGCAGACUGUUUGUUUAUUCUGAGGGUAUGUAGCAGACUG
This 363-nucleotide long non-coding RNA is filed under the name Oncorhynchus mykiss (rainbow trout). RNAcentral describes it as "lncRNA (ENSOMYG00000063484.1)". Lineage: Eukaryota; Metazoa; Chordata; Actinopteri; Salmoniformes; Salmonidae. The record is from RNAcentral.